Molecule: long non-coding RNA, 893 nt
Organism: Phasianus colchicus (ring-necked pheasant)
Lineage: Eukaryota; Metazoa; Chordata; Aves; Galliformes; Phasianidae
Source: RefSeq, a predicted model, not a curated record
GGUGGCGUGACUGAAGUGCUGGGGGAGUUCCCGCGCUCUUUGGGUCUGUGGAGAAAGCGGCUGAGGGCCGGGCGGGCUGUGCGCCGGUGGUGUAGACGUUGUGUUUCUCUGCAAAAUACGAGCGGUGGUUCUAGUCGAAAGAAGUGAAAUCUAAAUCUUGCAGUCUUGUAAUCUGAAGCUUGUCAUCUUAUUUUCAUAAUAGAACCAGGGUAGUGGAUUUCAAAUCUGGUUAUUUGGUACCUCUGGUUACUUUCAUAAAACAAAGUUACUGAAAGGCUAAAGGAUGGAUCUGAACUAACGGUAAACAACAGCAACCCUCUCUUCAGAACACCGUUACUGCCUACCUAGGUAGGUUGUACCAUGCAAGACUGCAAGUGUAUACUACAUGCUCAACUGGGGUUCUUGUGGUUGAGAACUUUAAUAGCUGCAGCACAUUAAGGAAAUGAAGGAAGAAAAACAAGAAUCUCUAUCUUACUAACUAAACCACACCCAUGCUUUGAGUUGCACAGAAGGGGAAACAAUGCAUGUCAGCUGAUGAUUGAGUAACUGCUGAUCUAACCAAGAGAAGUUGCUCCACCUGCUGAAAAGAACGUUCUACUUAAAAGGGCUGUGCUUCCAGCGUGAUAGUUUCUGAAGGUCUCCUGAGUUCAGCUAGGCAACUGAUUGAAUCAGUUAUACAGAAUCUUUGUCAGGAACACCAGUUCAUUUGCAUGCAUUUGUGCCAAAGCAGUCACUGAAAUCAAAGUUUAGCUGUCCUAGUUCAGACUUCAGCAGUAGUCUUCUACAAAUCGGCCCUUAAACAUAAGGAGCUGUGGCAGUUUGACAUAAUUAAGCGACCUUACCUCAUUGGAUCAGAAACCUGAGGAGUUAUGAGAGCAGUCAGCUUCCUCGUU